This is a long non-coding RNA of Panthera uncia (snow leopard), 2023 nucleotides long. RefSeq lists it as uncharacterized. Lineage: Eukaryota; Metazoa; Chordata; Mammalia; Carnivora; Felidae. The record is from RefSeq and is a predicted model, not a curated record. The transcript is spliced from 3 exons.
GAGGCGGGGCCUGGCCGAGAGAACUGCCGGAGUUUGGGCAGCCCGUCCUUCCUUUUUUUUUUUUGUCUAUUCUCCUCUUUCUGUGUGUUUUGUUUGUUUGUUUGUUUGUUUGUUCCCCUAUAACAGGUCAAAAUGUUAACGCUGUUGAUAAAUCAGUGUUUUCACAGCGGAGCCGUGUAGGAAGGCGGGAGUGCGUAAUGAGGGUUCAUUCAUUCUUUCAUUCAACAGGUUGCAGCUUCAGCUAUUCAUUACGUAUUACUUGAGUAACUGAUAUUACAGGUAUUGCUUGCUAAUACUGGAAGGUACACGAUUCAAGACUCCGAAGAGAUGAGAGUUUAAAGGCGAAUCUGGCACGUGUACACGGACAAUUUGAUGACGCAUUUGUGCAAUGCACUACAGAAGAAGGAACGUCCGAAGCAGCUUGGCAACGCGUAAAAUAGGUAGACAAAGAUGUCCUAACUGAAAAGUGUGGAUUGUUGGCCUUUACCAGACAGGAGGAUCAGCCUGGAUUCCCAGCCUUCCUUGGUCCAAACUACCCCACUGUCACCUGAUGUCAGCCUCUGAUGUUCCAUGUAUAAUUAAUGUGGUCACCCUGGUAACCAAAUCCUAAUUGAAAGUAAUCUCUUAACCCAACGUGGAGCUGGAACUCAUAACCCUGAGAUCAAGAGUCACAUGCUCCACCGACUGAGCCAGAGCCAGGAACCCCUCUGUUCUAACUGUAAAAGGAAAAUAAAGAAGAUAAUCGAUGGUGCAAAAGAUUGUAUAGAAAGAGAAUGAAUUACCUGACAAUACUCAGGCUUCUUUCUGUUAUAUAUAUCCUUUGGAAAAAAACUAUGGUGCUCUAAGCAUUUAUGUAACUUAAGAAAUUUGGAGUCUCUGGUUGAAAAGCUACAGUUUGAAGAGGAUUUAUAUUUUUUAAAAAUGAAAUAGCCAAGACUUGGACUGUAUUAAACAUCUGAAAACACAGUAAAUAAGGCCAAAUUAAAUGGUGGUGGGGAGAAGGGUACAUGGUAGGCUAACUUGAGCAGCAACCAAUAACAGUAACAAUACAGUUUAAAUGAUCAUCAAGAGCCAGACGCAAAGGUACUUCUGGAAAUUACUUCUUUCUCUGUUUUUUUAAUACCAGUUUUAUUGAAAUAUAAUUAACAAUUCGCCCAUUUAAAGUAUACAGUCCUAUGGGUUUCAGUAUGUUUACAGAGUUGUAUAGCCAUCACCACAAUCAAUUUUAGAAUAUUUUCAUCCCUCCCCAAUAAACCCUGCCCAUUAGUAGUCACUGCCUUUUCCCCACUACCCUCCCAUUCUACAACCCUAGGCAACCACUGGUCUACUUUUUAUCUGUAAAGAUUUCCUAUCCUAGACACUUCAUAUAAAUGGAAUCAUAUAAUACAUAGCCCUUUGUGACUACCCUUUCACUUAGCAUAAUGUUUCCUUUUUUUUUUUUAAGUUUAUUUAUUUAAAGAGAGACAGAGACAGCACACGUGGGGAAGGGCAGAGAUAGAGGGAGAGAGAGAGAAUCCAAAGCAGGCUCCAUGCUGCCAGCACAGAGACCAAUGCAUGGCUCAAAUCCAUGAAACUGUGAGAUCAUAACCUGAGCUGAAACCAAGAGGUAGACACUUAACGGACGGAGCCACCCAGGUGCCCCUAGCAUAAUGUUUUCAAGGUUCAUCCAUGAAGUAGUAUGUAUUAGUACUUAUUUCCUUAUUGCCAAAUAAUAUUCCAUUGUAUGGAUAUAACACAUUUCACUAUCCAUUCAUCAGUUGAUGGGCAGUUAGGUUGCUUCCCCCUUUUGGCUAUUAUGAAUAAUUUCAUGAACAUUCAUGUACAAAUUUUUGUUUAGAUAUACAUUUUUAAUAUUCUUGGGAACUUCAAAUAAACAACGUAGUUUCAACGUAGUUUUUGGAGCAGUCUGGCUUCAAAGGCUGUGCUCUUAGCAAUUAGGCAAUGUUGCCACUCUGUAUGAGAUUUUAUUUUUAAAAUAAAAGAGGCAAUAUCACCCCCCAUACAAAAAGACAAUAAAAAAUAA